Molecule: ribosomal RNA, 465 nt
Filed under: Aspidosiphon steenstrupii
Lineage: Eukaryota; Metazoa; Annelida; Sipuncula; Aspidosiphonidormes; Aspidosiphonidae
Description: partial 16S ribosomal RNA
Rfam family: Bacterial large subunit ribosomal RNA
Source: RNAcentral
GGCCUGUAGAAAGUUUAUUAUAGGUUUAGCCUGCCCGGUGAAAUUUUAACGGCCGCAGUAUUUUAACUGUGCAAAGGUAGCGUAAUCAUUUGUCUUUUAAUAGGGGACUGGUAUGAAUGGUCAAACGAGGAUAAAUCUGUCUCCUUUAAAUUGUCUGAAGUUGCUUUUAGGUGCAGAGGCUUGAAUAUUAAUAAAAGACGAGAAGACCCUAUGUGCUUGAAUCUUGUUUGUUUUGGGGUAAGAAUAAAGGUUUUUAUUGGGAAAAUAAAGGAGGAGAAAAAUAAUCCUAUUAAUUACUUUGUCUAAUAGAAAAUUACUAGAGGGAAUAGUAACCGUAGGGAUAACAGACUAAUUUCUUUUGAGAGUACACAUUAACAAAGAAGAUUAGCACCUCGAUGUUGGCUUAGAAAUAUUACUAUGAAGCAGAAAUCUAGUGUAUGGGCUUGUUCAGCCUUUGAAUUUUUA